This is a long non-coding RNA of Phyllopteryx taeniolatus (common seadragon), 399 nucleotides long. RefSeq lists it as uncharacterized. The record is from RefSeq and is a predicted model, not a curated record. NCBI's taxonomy places the organism in Eukaryota, Metazoa, Chordata, Actinopteri, Syngnathiformes, Syngnathidae. The transcript is spliced from 3 exons.
GACAUACAUACCUGCGAGAGGAGAGGAGGCGCGGUGCUUUCGAAGGGUGGGUAAAGGGAUGAGAGCGCCCCCUGUACGCAGUCCUCCAUGGCCUCUGAUGCCUGAUUGGAACAAAAGAGCUGGAAUCAACUUUGCUUUGUUUCUCUGACACCCCGUCGUGCCCCCCGGCCCCACCCCCGCAAUCUCAGUCAAGCCAGAAUUGUGCUUUCAGCCCUCAACGAUUUGACAACAAUUACAUGGAUUUCAUCUUCUGCUGUCGCCGUAUUGGGAUGAAAAGGUUGAAGAGCAGCACAGGCCGGACUCUUUGGUUCCAGAAAAGAAACUAUGGCAUGUUUCUGACAGACCAAAAGAAAGAAAAAGACACAGGAGGAGGAGAGAAAAGUCUGAACGCUGGGAAAG